UCCAUCUAGAGAGGUGAGGGAGAAAAGACAAAAUAGGUGAUAAGGAAUCUGGAGCAGACCUGUCCAAAGCAGGUCCCUGUGACCUCUGCACACGGAUUAAAAAAGCCUCCAAGUAUCACUAUCUAUACGGCACUGCAUUCAUUCGUUCAAGAGAAGAGGGGAAAAGAGGAAGAUCUUUGCUGACUGAGAAAGGCUAAUUUUAAGAAUGAAGUGAAUGAAAGAGGAGGAAGUGAAGGCACCAAGUAUAGUUAGUUUUCUAUGGAAUAUGGACACAAAAAAGAAGCACUUUAGAGCAGCAACAGGCACAGAGAUCUAAGAUUAGCAACAAUGGGAUGACAGAAGGGGCAAAUUGUUGGCAUAGAUCCAAUGGAAUGGAAUUAAGAGUAUGUAAAGGGAUUUGUCUCAAAGAGAAGAACUCGCUUAGUAAGAGCCAGAGGUAAAGAUACCUGAGUGAUAUAAGGAGGAGGAGGAGGAAGAGGGAGCUCCUAGUGCAGGAACUCUUCGUUUUUCAGCAAAGGUUGAAGUGAGCUAAAAGGGUGGUGCUAUGAAGGCUUGAGAAGGGGAAAAAGGUUUGGAAUAGCCUCUGUAGUGAGUGGAUGAGUAAAUCAAUUUGGGAAAUGCAAAAAGACUGCCUUGCUUCAGUGAGGGCACAACUGAGAUUAUGAAAUAAAUUUGUAAUGGACUCAGUCAAA
This is a long non-coding RNA of Monodelphis domestica (gray short-tailed opossum), 692 nucleotides long. RefSeq lists it as uncharacterized. The record is from RefSeq and is a predicted model, not a curated record. NCBI's taxonomy places the organism in Eukaryota, Metazoa, Chordata, Mammalia, Didelphimorphia, Didelphidae.